UACGUAGGGACCAAGCGUUGUUCGGAUUUACUGGGCGUAAAGGGCGCGUAGGCGGCAAUUCAAGUCAUCUGUGAAAUCUCCGGGCUUAACCCGGAACGGUCAGGUGAUACUGUUUUGCUAGAGUGCGGAAGGGGCAAUCGGAAUUCUCGGUGUAGCGGUGAAAUGCGUAGAUAUCGAGAGGAACACCAGAGGUGAAGACGGGUUGCUGGGCCGACACUGACGCUGAGGAGCGAAAGCGUGGGGAGCGAACAGG
RNAcentral lists this ribosomal RNA (253 nucleotides) under uncultured bacterium. RNAcentral describes it as "partial 16S ribosomal RNA". It matches the Rfam family "Bacterial small subunit ribosomal RNA", at positions 524 to 776 of the family's 1533-position model. The record is from RNAcentral.